CCAUCGCUCGCACAGUGCAUCACGAACUUAACCCCGGUUCACUCCGAUCAUCAUCCACCCACCGAUGGCCCGACGCCGGAGCAGCGGCGGCAUCUCGUCCGCGCUGAGCCUGGGGCUCGCCGUGAUGGCCGUCACAUGGGCGACGUCCACGGCGCAGCAGCAGCAGCAGCAACCGCCGGCCGUGCCAAGCGUGAGCGUGCCGAGCUGCCCGCCGGUGCAGGCCUCGCUGUCGCCGUGCGUGAGCUACUUCAUCGGCAACUCCUCGUCGCCGUCCGACACGUGCUGCGUCCAGAUGCGGGCCAUGUUCCAGUCGCAGGCGCCCUGCCUCUGCGCCGCCGUGUCCGCCGUGCCGUCCCAGCUCGGGUCCGUGGUCGGCGGCCUGCUCCCCACCGCCUGCAACCUGCCCCCCAACGCCUGCUCCGGUACGUGCAUGCUGCCAGCGAGAUGCUCCUACAUGUAGAAAAACUGGAAAGUUCUGACCAUUUCUGUUGGUGUGUCAUCGUCGCCACCUGGACUCACUCCACCGCAGCUCCGACUUCAAAGCAACCAAGCAACCUACAGAAGAGCACCUCGGACACGCCUGAAAGAACCGACUAUCGAAGUCCAUGCCGCGACCCAAGCUCCUCUCGACGCCAUCAUCGUUGCCAAAAACAAAAACCAGCGCCCCAGCUCGGUGAUACGUCUCCAACGUAUCUAUAAUUUUUGAUUGUUCCAUGCUAUUAUAUUAUCUGUUUUGGAUGUUUAUGGGCUUUAUUAUACACUUUUAUAUUAUUUUUGGGACUAACCUAUUAACCGGAGGCCCAACCCAAAUUGUUGUUUUCUUGCCUAUUUCAGUGUUUCGAAGAAAAAGAAUAUCAAACGGAGUCCAAACAGAAUGAAACCUUCGGGAGAGUUAUUUUUGGAACGGAAGCAAUUCAGGAAACUUGGAGUAUACGUCACGGAAGCUUCGAGGUGGCCACGAGGCAGGGAGGCGCGCCUACCCCCUGGGCGCGCCCCCACCCUCGUGGGCCUCUCGUGGCUCCCCUAACCGAGUUCUUUCGCCUAUAUAUGUCCAUAUACCCUAAAAACAUCGAAGAGCACAAUAGAUCAGGAGUUCCACCGCCAGAAGCCUCCAUAGCCACCGAAAACCAAUCUAGACCCGUUCCGGCACCCUGCCGGAGGGGAGAAUCCCUCUCUGGUGGCCAUCUUCAUCAUCCCGACGCUCUCCUUGACGAGGAGGGAGUAGUUCACCCUCGGGGCUGAGGGUAUGUACCAAUAGCUAUGUGUUUGAUCUCUCUCUCUCUCUCGUGUUAUUGAGAUGGUACGAUCUUGAUGUAUCGCGAGCUUUGCUAUUAUAGUUGGACCUUAUGAUGUUUCUCCCCCUCUACUCUCUUGUAAUGGAUUGAGUUUUCCCUUUGAAGUUAUCUUAUCGGAUUGAGUCUUUAAGGAUUUGAGAACACUUGACGCAUGUCUUGCAUGUGCUUAUCUGUGGUGACAAUGGGAUAUCACGUGAUCCACUUGAUGUAUGUUUUGGUGAUCAACUUGCGAGUUCCGUGAACUUAUGCAUAGGGGUUGGCACACGUUUUCGUCUUGACUCUCUGGUAGAAACUUUGGGGCACUCUUUGAAGUUCUUUGUGUUGGUUGAAUAGAUGAAUCUGAGUUUGUGUGAUGCAUAUCGUAUAAUCAUACUCACGGAUACUUGAGGUGACAUUGGAGUAUCUAGGUGACAUUAGGGUUUUGGUUGAUUUAUGUCUUAAGGUGUUAUUCUAGUACGAACUCUAUGAUAGAUUGAACGGAAAGAAUAGCUUUAUGUUAUUUUACUACGGACUCUUGAAUAGAUCGAUCAGAAAUGAUAACUUUGAGAUGGUUUCAUACCCUACAAUAAUCUCUUCGUUUGUUCUUCGCUAUUAGUGAUUUUGGAGUGACUCUUUGUUGCAUGUUGAGGGAUAGUUAUAUGAUCAAAUUAUGUUAUUAUUGUUAAGAUGACUUGCACUAGUGAAAGUAUGAACCCUAGGCCUUAUUUCCACGCAUUGCAAUACCGUUUGUGCUCACUUUUAUCAUUAGUCACCUUGUCGUUUUUAUAUUUUCAGAUUACAAAAACCUAUAUCUACCAUCUAUAUUGCACUUGUAUCAUCAUCUCUUCGUUGAACUAGUACACCUAUACAAUUUACCAUUGUAUUGGGUGUGUUGGGGACACAAGAGACUCUUUGUUAUUUGGUUACAUGGUUGCUUGAGAGAGACCAUCUUCAUCCUACGCCUCCCACGGAUUGAUAAAUCUUAGGUCAUCCACUUGAGGGAAAUUUGCUACUGUCUUACAAACCUCUGCACUUGGAGCCCAACAACAUCUACAAAAAGAAGGUUGUGUAGUAGACAUCACUCAGCAAACCAUGCGGUCAAGAUGCCGCCAUCCAGCGGUCUCCUGGCCGUAGCCGGCUCCGAGACGAUGCUCCCAAGGAGGAAAAAGACACGAAAACGUCUCCAUCACCCGAUCCAACAGAUCUGAGGUUUCCCUCCGGAGCCAAUGCCGUGGGGAGGAGGAGCACACCUCCACGACAACGCUUCCAAGAAAGGUCGCGGCACCCACGGGUGCCGCCGUCGCCUGCUCCGAUGAAGAGCGAACGAGGAUUUCUCCUGGACAUGUGUCGACCACCUGCCCCCACCGACCGCCGCCAACCAACCACCAUACCAGUUGAGGCCAACCUUACUCUGGACGCGAGAUCCCACGAUCCACUGCGCCUAGGAACGCACCACCCCUUGGGCGUAGCAACCGCCCACCACAGCAACCAACGCGCCGCAAGCAGCAGCCCCCGAAUCAGAGAACCACCAAUGGCCAAACCCAAAAUGGAGUCACUCCAACGAAGCAGCAGAGCAGAUGAGCAUGCCCUUCACCGCAGCACACCUCGAGCUCCGGUGACGCAUGCCCGCCGCGCCCCACCAGUCACCGCGCCCGUCGCGCGCAAGCUGCCGCCGCGCUAGUCCAUCGAUAUGUCCACCACACGCACAUCCAAGGCCGAGAGCCGCCUCGCGCAUGGGCUCCGGUGGAAGAUUCAGAUUGAAAAGGUGCACAUUUUCCAAUUGAAGCUCCAAGAAUAGAAUUCGACCAUGAGUCCAGGACCGAGGCAUACAUGCUGACGUGCCAAAAAAAAAAGAGCCAUGCAUGUCCAAGAUUUUUGGACGAGAAAAACCAACACACUUUUUUCUUCCCAAUCUUGUAGCACGACCUUGAGUCACACAGCAAUGAACGGAGAGGUCCAAAUUAUUUUGUGACAAUGUAAUCCCUACUUCUUUAUAUUUUCUAUUCUGCAUCCAGUUGUCUGCCUCUUGUGAUAUUAAUUAAUUAGAUUUGAAAUGCACUUUGGGUGUUUUUACUUUUAUAAAAAAAAUCGUUGUUAUUAUGAUUUCCUUUCAAAAAAGGGGAGAAAAACCCCCCGGACUCUGCAUCGGUCCAGCUAACUAGUGUCGAGUUCAUCCGAGUUUUCUCACCAACACGGUAACAUCUCUGGAAAAGCAGUGGCGGUGCACCCUGCAAAGUGCAAGCUACUCCACUUUUGGACGUUAGAUAGGGCAGUCGAUCUGCCCGUCGCUACCGAGCCACCGGUCGCUCGUCCAACAAAGCAUCCGAGCACCUAUAAAUUGAACCACGAGCCCACGACACAACGGCACGACCACCCAUCGCUCGCACAGUGCAUCACGAACUUAACCCCGGUUCACUCCGAUCAUCAUCCACCCACCGAUGGCCCGACGCCGGAGCAGCGGCGGCAUCUCGUCCGCGCUGAGCCUGGGGCUCGCCGUGAUGGCCGUCACAUGGGCGACGUCCACGGCGCAGCAGCAGCAGCAGCAACCGCCGGCCGUGCCAAGCGUGAGCGUGCCGAGCUGCCCGCCAGUGCAGGCCUCGUUGUCGCCGUGCGUGAGCUACUUCAUCGGCAACUCCUCGUCGCCGUCCGACACGUGCUGCGUCCAGAUGCGGGCCCUGUUCCAGUCGCAGGCGCCCUGCCUCUGCGCCGCCGUGUCCGCCAUGCCGUCCCAGCUUGGGUCCGUGGUCGGCGGCCUGCUCCCCACCGCCUGCAACCUGCCCCCCAACGCCUGCUCCG
This 4070-nucleotide long non-coding RNA is filed under the name Triticum aestivum (bread wheat). RNAcentral describes it as "long non-coding RNA (TAES_LNC002028)". Lineage: Eukaryota; Viridiplantae; Streptophyta; Magnoliopsida; Poales; Poaceae. The record is from RNAcentral.